Molecule: ribosomal RNA, 460 nt
Filed under: uncultured bacterium
Lineage: Bacteria
Description: partial 16S ribosomal RNA
Rfam family: Bacterial small subunit ribosomal RNA
Source: RNAcentral
CCUACGGGGGGCAGCAGUGAGGAAUAUUGGUCAAUGGCCGUAAGGCUGAACCAGCCAAGUCGCGUGAAGGAAGAAGGAUCAAUGGUUUGUAAACUUCUUUUGUAGGGGAAUAAAGGUAUCCACGUGUGGCUAUUUGCAUGUACCCUAUGAAUAAGCAUCGGCUAACUCCGUGCCAGCAGCCGCGGUAAUACGGAGGAUGCGAGCGUUAUCCGGAUUUAUUGGGUUUAAAGGGUGCGUAGGUUGUUUUUUAAGUCAGCGGUGAAAGUUUGUGGCUCAACCAUAAAAUUGCCGUUGAAACUGGAAGACUCGAGUGGGUGUGAGGUAGGCGGAAUGCGUGGUGUAGCGGUGAAAUGCAUAGAUAUCGCGCAGAACUCCGAUUGCGAAGGCAGCUUACUAGGCCAUAACUGACACUGAAGCACGAAAGCGUGGGGAUCAAACAGGAUUAGAUACCCUAGUAGUC